Molecule: long non-coding RNA, 703 nt
Filed under: Homo sapiens (human)
Lineage: Eukaryota; Metazoa; Chordata; Mammalia; Primates; Hominidae
Description: HSALNT0369356
Source: RNAcentral
AGAUGUGCCUGCUUCCCUUCGCCUUCUGCCAUGAUUGUAAGUUUCCUGAGGCCUCCACAACGAUGCUUUCUAUAGAGCCUGUGGAACAUUCACUGUCAGAGAUUCAAAGAGGCUUCUGGAUGAGUUACCUCAGAGUUAUCCACAAGUCAUCAAGUGGCAAACUUGGAAGAGUGAUGGUAGAAUAUUGGAUGACAGUGUCUACUAGCAGAGAAUCCCUAGAGUUGAACAGACACAUUUCAAGCCUUAUCCAAGUUUAGGACUUUUGGAAAGCAUUGCAGUUGCGAAUAAGAGAAUGUGCUUGGAAUCUUACUCUUGUGCAUUGAAGAAGGAUAAGAAACAGGAAGAAGUAGAAGAAUAAGGGGCUGGAGAUCAAGACCUACCCAUUGUGAUGAAUAAAUCCAGGCUCUCAGCAAUGCAGGGAGAAAAAGUUUUGUCUAUCAACACUGCAGCAACCAGUCUCUUAGCACAGGCACCAGCCCUGGAGUUCAUGUCCUCAUCAAAGGAUGGAAAGAAGCAAAGCUCAAAUCAGCUUGGGAAGGACCUUACCUAGUGCUCCUGACCACUGUAACCAUCAUCCAGACAGCAGAGAAAGGAUGGACUCAUUAUACCCGAGUCAAAGUGUUGCCACCUCCACAGUCAUGGGCCAUUGUUCCAGGGGAAAGCCCUACCAAAUUAAAGCUAAGAAAAACUUAUCACCUUUCCU